Molecule: ribosomal RNA, 482 nt
Filed under: uncultured bacterium
Lineage: Bacteria
Description: partial 16S ribosomal RNA
Rfam family: Bacterial small subunit ribosomal RNA
Source: RNAcentral
GAUGAACGCUAGCGGCAGGCCUAAUACAUGCAAGUCGAACGAGAUUAAGAGGCUUGCUUCUUAUGGAAGUGGCGCACGGGUGCGUAACGCGUAUGCAACCUACCUUAAUCAGGGGGAUAGCCCGAAGAAAUUCGGAUUAAGACCGCAUAAAAACACAGGAUAGCAUUAUCCAAUGUUCAAAUAUUUAUAGGAUUAAGAUGGGCAUGCGUGUCAUUAGCUAGUUGGCGGGGUAACGGCCCACCAAGGCGACGAUGACUAGGGGAUCUGAGAGGAUGACCCCCCACACUGGUACUGAGACACGGACCAGACUCCUACGGGAGGCAGCAGUAAGGAAUAUUGGUCAAUGGAGGGAACUCUGAACCAGCCAUGCCGCGUGCAGGAAGACAGCCCUCUGGGUCGUAAACUGCUUUUAUUCGGGAAUAAACCUUUCUACGUGUAGGAAGCUGAAUGUACCGAAGGAAUAAGGAUCGGCUAACUCCGUG